GUCCUAGCCGUAAACGCUGCGAGCAAGGUAUUGCGCCUCCCACGAGGAUGCGCAGUGUCGAAGAGAAGUCGUUAAGCUCGCCACCAGGGAAGUACGGUCGCAAGGCUGAAACUUUAAGGAAUUGGCGGGGGAGCGCCACAAGGGGUGCGGCGUGCGGUUCAAUCUAACUCAACGCAGAGAACCUCACUAGGCCCGACGGCAGGAUGAAGGUCACGCUGAAGACGUUACCUGACGAGCCGAGAGGUAGUGCAUGGCCGUCGU
Molecule: ribosomal RNA, 261 nt
Filed under: uncultured bacterium
Lineage: Bacteria
Description: partial 16S ribosomal RNA
Rfam family: Archaeal small subunit ribosomal RNA
Source: RNAcentral